AAAUUGAAGAGUUUGAUCAUGGCUCAGAUUGAACGCUGGCGGCAGGCCUAACACAUGCAAGUCGAGCGGUAGCACAGAGAGCUUGCUCUCGGGUGACGAGCGGCGGACGGGUGAGUAAUGUCUGGGAAACUGCCUGAUGGAGGGGGAUAACUACUGGAAACGGUAGCUAAUACCGCAUAACGUCGCAAGACCAAAGAGGGGGACCUUCGGGCCUCUUGCCAUCAGAUGUGCCCAGAUGGGAUUAGCUAGUAGGUGGGGUAACGGCUCACCUAGGCGACGAUCCCUAGCUGGUCUGAGAGGAUGACCAGCCACACUGGAACUGAGACACGGUCCAGACUCCUACGGGAGGCAGCAGUGGGGAAUAUUGCACAAUGGGCGCAAGCCUGAUGCAGCCAUGCCGCGUGUAUGAAGAAGGCCUUCGGGUUGUAAAGUACUUUCAGCGGGGAGGAAGGUGUUGUGGUUAAUAACCGCAGCAAUUGACGUUACCCGCAGAAGAAGCACCGGCUAACUCCGUGCCAGCAGCCGCGGUAAUACGGAGGGUGCAAGCGUUAAUCGGAAUUACUGGGCGUAAAGCGCACGCAGGCGGUCUGUCAAGUCGGAUGUGAAAUCCCCGGGCUCAACCUGGGAACUGCAUUCGAAACUGGCAGGCUAGAGUCUUGUAGAGGGGGGUAGAAUUCCAGGUGUAGCGGUGAAAUGCGUAGAGAUCUGGAGGAAUACCGGUGGCGAAGGCGGCCCCCUGGACAAAGACUGACGCUCAGGUGCGAAAGCGUGGGGAGCAAACAGGAUUAGAUACCCUGGUAGUCCACGCCGUAAACGAUGUCGACUUGGAGGUUGUGCCCUUGAGGCGUGGCUUCCGGAGCUAACGCGUUAAGUCGACCGCCUGGGGAGUACGGCCGCAAGGUUAAAACUCAAAUGAAUUGACGGGGGCCCGCACAAGCGGUGGAGCAUGUGGUUUAAUUCGAUGCAACGCGAAGAACCUUACCUACUCUUGACAUCCAGAGAACUUAGCAGAGAUGCCUUGGUGCCUUCGGGAACUCUGAGACAGGUGCUGCAUGGCUGUCGUCAGCUCGUGUUGUGAAAUGUUGGGUUAAGUCCCGCAACGAGCGCAACCCUUAUCCUUUGUUGCCAGCGGUUAGGCCGGGAACUCAAAGGAGACUGCCAGUGAUAAACUGGAGGAAGGUGGGGAUGACGUCAAGUCAUCAUGGCCCUUACGAGUAGGGCUACACACGUGCUACAAUGGCGCAUACAAAGAGAAGCGACCUCGCGAGAGCAAGCGGACCUCAUAAAGUGCGUCGUAGUCCGGAUUGGAGUCUGCAACUCGACUCCAUGAAGUCGGAAUCGCUAGUAAUCGUAGAUCAGAAUGCUACGGUGAAUACGUUCCCGGGCCUUGUACACACCGCCCGUCACACCAUGGGAGUGGGUUGCAAAAGAAGUAGGUAGCUUAACCUUCGGGAGGGCGCUUACCACUUUGUGAUUCAUGACUGGGGUGAAGUCGUAACAAGGUAACCGUAGGGGAACCUGCGGUUGGAUCACCUCCUUA
This 1540-nucleotide ribosomal RNA is filed under the name Enterobacter cancerogenus. RNAcentral's name for it is "bacterial SSU rRNA". It matches the Rfam family "Bacterial small subunit ribosomal RNA". Lineage: Bacteria; Pseudomonadati; Pseudomonadota; Gammaproteobacteria; Enterobacterales; Enterobacteriaceae. The record is from RNAcentral.